CAAAGGCCCUGAGGUGGAAAAGGGCUUAGCACGUUCCAGGAACUAAAAGGAGGCAGGCACCAGUGAUGGGGGGAGGAGCAGCAUGAUGGGCAGUGAAAACCACAGAGGUAGGUAAGAGCAUCCUGCAGGACUUCGUAGGAAAUGUCAAGGAUUUUGAAAUUUACCCUAAAGGCCAUGGUGUGCCAUGGUAAGGACUAUAGGUAGAGAUGAGACAUUGCUUUAGUCUGGUUUCCCUCAGAAGAAGACCAAGUUGAUUUGGGAGGUAGUAUAAAAAAGCAUCAACAGAGAAGUGAAGGAUUGAGGCAAGUAAGGGAAGAAGUCUAAUAAAGGAUAAUUCAAAUUUCACUGUGGACAACUGGAACUUAUGUCCUCUGGGGAUCGCAGGGGGCCAUUCUAGACUAUGCCCCCAGAUUAUCCCACUUGAGGUAUCCAAGAACUGGGGUAUUUAUUCACCUUAUCAUGCCAGCCAUUGCUUGGGGUCUGUUGGAGGAAGAGGAAGUAUCUGUGGGGUGAUGAGUAGGCAAAGCAGCUACGUGACCAGAGAAAACUUUCUAGCAAAAAAAAAAAAAAAUGUGGAAUGGGCGUUGGAAGUCAGGUUGGUGAACCCUGAAGCCCUGGAUGAGGACCGAUGGCAGAUAGUUCACUUUAUUUUUUUCAGUGAAUAAACCAGAAGGACAAGAAAGUGGGAGACUAAUUCAGAAACUGUUUCAUAGAGGUGUUGGUGGUAUAGAGCUUAGCAUAGCUGCCUUUCAGAGAGUGUGCUGUGGUCCAGGUGAUGAUGGGGAAGACAGAGACCUGGACAAAAUGGUGCCUGAUGGAGAUGGAGAGAAGAAGUGGAUUUGGGGUUCAUGUGGGUAUGGCAUUAAUAUCUUGAUAUGCUGGUUUAGAUGUAGGGCAUGAGGAAGAAGGAGAAUUCAAGAAUCCUUUCUAGCUUGAAUAUCUGAGCAAGUGAUGAUACAAUUUAGCAAAGUGGGAAAACUGGGAGAAGGUUGGGUUUGGGUCAUGUAUUAUAAAUGAAAUCAGCUGGCAUCCUUGUGUAACUUUUUCUUGCAGCACUGAGCUGGAACUGAGAAGGUGGCUCUUAGGUUUCAUUCAUAGGUGAAGGUUUGGCAGGUGUGUUUAACAGGGGACAGCGGGCAGGGGAGUUGAAAGCAUUUGGAAGGGAGUGGAAAGUAUGUCAACCAAGAUCUAGGGACAGUGACGCAACAGGGGAGUUACCAGAAAAAGUAAGCUGGAAGAAUAGGCAUGUGUAGUCUGAUUCACCUUGGUAUCUGUGGCACGUAGUAAAAGCUAGGUGAAUAUUUGUACUUAAAGUG
This 1316-nucleotide long non-coding RNA is filed under the name Marmota monax (woodchuck). The record is from RNAcentral. Lineage: Eukaryota; Metazoa; Chordata; Mammalia; Rodentia; Sciuridae.